Cercocebus atys (sooty mangabey) is the source of this 1375-nucleotide long non-coding RNA. RefSeq lists it as uncharacterized. NCBI's taxonomy places the organism in Eukaryota, Metazoa, Chordata, Mammalia, Primates, Cercopithecidae. The record is from RefSeq and is a predicted model, not a curated record. The transcript has 2 exons.
AAAAAAAAAAAAAAAAAAAGAAGAGUAUGUAUGCAUUAAAAAGAGUAAGUAAAACCUACAGCAUACAGGCUUGGGAAAGUGGCCAUAUAAUAUUACUGAAUACAAGAGUCCCUUAUAGAACAGUGUAUAUAUUCAGUAUGAUCCUAUGAAAAUAUAAGUUUAAAUAUAAGUAACUGCAUAAAAAGAUAUCCAAGGAUAUCUUCCAAACUAUUAACUGUCUUCUCUCAAGGGAGUAGAAGCAAUGACAGGAGGCAUUUCCACUUCUGUAUUUCUAUCAAUACGCUACUGAUUUUCUGUUUUUGUGUUUUUAGGAGCACAUACUAAUUUUGAAAAAUUUAAAGAGCAUUUCCAUUUAAGGGAAAAAUGUGAAAUGAUUUUUUGUUUGAUAAGAGAAUAGAGGUUCACCCGAUGGGUCUGGGACUGAUGAGUAGGAAUAAGAAGAGCACUCACUGGAGGAAAACACUCUUCUGGGGCAUCACAAAAGGUCCUAUGUGUACUGCUGCCUUCAAUGAAUACUCUAAAAUAAAAUGCCACCCUGAAUUUUCAUGUCUUUCUUCUGGGGAAUACUAAAUCGGUAAUUAACUUUAUAUAGCAUUUAUAAGCAUAAUAUGGCAAACAAACAUUAAUACUUCCUUGUAAUAGAUGGAGACACUGAGGAUAUUAAUUUUUAAAAAGUAACAUUCACUGAAGAAACACUGAAGUCUACAGGAUGCCGGGGUAGCAGUUUCCAAAUCAUGUUCCUAGCAAGGGAUGCAGAAAAAGCAAAGCCCAGGGUCAGCCUCCAAGUAUCUUCUCACCUGCACUUUGGUCAGAAAAGCUCCCAUCUCAUACCCUUUAUUUACUGGGGUUCACACCUCAGGUUUCAUCUACAAGAAAAGCAAAUCCAUUCUUAAAAAGGUUUUAAAUUGUUCUACUAAGCAGUAAGAAAUAAGGAUAGAUGCAGAAAGAGUUUACAGUUUACUGACAACAGCCUCUUUAACAGGUAAUUAUACUGCAUGGGAACAGGUGGCAACAGAGAGGAUCAAGCAAAGCACUGUGGGACCAACUGACCAGAGAAACAUGGAGGAGAACACCUACCCCUUAUAAGCAAAGAGGGAGCAAAGAUCAAUGACAUAAUUCACGUCUGCAGACAACUAUGAGCUCACAGGAAACUGAGGUAAGAAAGGUCAUUUCAGAAUCAUUUAAUGACAAGAAUGGCUGAGAUGAGUAUCUGCUGGGGUCUGGGCCCGCCUUCCCCUCUGAUUCCCAGCACACUGUGGCAAAAACAGGCAGUCAGCUUCCAGAGCCCUUUCCCAUUCACACUGCUCCUGGGCCCAUGGGUCACACUGCUCUAGUGCCCUUCCCUCAACUCCAGCCCUCUCCCUUUCCAAAAACC